Molecule: ribosomal RNA, 432 nt
Filed under: uncultured bacterium
Lineage: Bacteria
Description: partial 16S ribosomal RNA
Rfam family: Bacterial small subunit ribosomal RNA
Source: RNAcentral
GAUGAACGCUGGCGGUAUGCUUAACACAUGCAAGUCGAACGGUCACUUCGGUGAUAGUGGCGGACGGGUGAGUAACGCGUGAGAAUCUGUCUUCAGGUCGGGGACAACAGUUAGAAAUGACUGCUAAUACCGGAUGUGCCUUUGGGUGAAAGAUUUAUUGCCUGAAAAAGAGCUCGCGUCAGAUUAGCUAGUAGGUGGUGUAAGAGACUACCUAGGCUCCGAUCUGUAGCUGGUCUGAGAGGACGAUCAGCCACACUGGAACUGAGACACGGUCCAGACUCCUACGGGAGGCAGCAGUGGGGAAUUUUCCGCAAUGGGCGAAAGCCUGACGGAGCAAUACCGCGUGAGGGACGAAGGCUUUUGGGUCGUAAACCUCUUUUUUCAAGGAAGAUGAUGACGGUACUUGAGGAAUAAGCAUCGGCUAACUCUGUG